GACAGAGGGUGCAAACGUUGCUCGGAAUUACUGGGCGUAAAGCGCAUGUAGGCGGUUUCGCAAGUCGGGUGUGAAAGCCCAGGGCUCAACCCUGGAAGUGCACUCGAUACUACGGAGCUGGAGUCUUGAAGAGGAGAGCGGAAUUCCUGGUGUAGCGGUGGAAUGCGCAGAUAUCAGGAGGAACACCAAUGGCGAAGGCAGCUCGCUGGGACGGUACUGACGCUGAGGCGCGAAAGCGUGGGGAGCAAACAGG
This 253-nucleotide ribosomal RNA is filed under the name uncultured bacterium. Its description in RNAcentral is "partial 16S ribosomal RNA". It matches the Rfam family "Bacterial small subunit ribosomal RNA", at positions 524 to 776 of the family's 1533-position model. The record is from RNAcentral.